RNAcentral lists this ribosomal RNA (280 nucleotides) under uncultured bacterium. RNAcentral's name for it is "partial 16S ribosomal RNA". It matches the Rfam family "Bacterial small subunit ribosomal RNA", at positions 524 to 796 of the family's 1533-position model. The record is from RNAcentral.
GACGAACCGUCCGAACGUUAUUCGGUAUCACUGGGCUUAAAGAGUCCGUAGGCGGCCAUGUAGGUCAGAUGUGAAAUCCCACAGCUCAACUGUGGAACUGCGUUUGAAACCACAUGGCUUGAGGAAGAUAGAGGUGAGCGGAACAGAUGGUGGAGCGGUGAAAUGCGUUGAUAUCAUCUGGAACACCGGUGGCGAAAAGCGGCUCACUGGAUCUUUUUCUGACGCUGAGGGGACGAAAAGCUAGGGGUAGCGAACGGGGAUUAGAUACCCCCCGUAGUCC